UUUUCUUUUUCUCCUUUCCUGUCUUCCUUCCCUCCUUCCUUCCUUUCUCCUUUUUAAAAAUUUUCUUUCUUCCCUUUUCCCUCCCUCCCUGCCUCCUCUCCCUUCCUUCUUUCUUUCCUUCCUUCCUUCCUCCCUCUCUUCCUUUCUCUCUUUCCAGUUCCCAGAGGCUUCACAAUGCCCCUUGAUUGCUUAUGUCCACACAGGCUGUGCAGGCCGAGCUGGCAUCUUCAGGCAUUCAGCAAAGCAGAAAGCUUUGGGGAGCAAGCUCGAGAUGGAAAGGGGGCCCCUUCACUCAACCACUCAGUGUCUGGCCCCGCGGGCUCUGGGGUGUGUGCCCAGAUCUACUCUUUGCAGCGCCCAUGUGAGCUGCUUUAUGGGACCCAGCCAUUUGCAGAAUGACCCAGUCCUUCUCCUGCCCUCACGGAGCUCAUGGGAAGAACUUUAGCUUCUCAGUAGAUCCAGAACUGCAUUUUGUGUUGUCCGUGGACUGGGCUGAUUUGCUGGUUGGUACCUGCUUGUGAGGAGAUAAGGAGAGAAAUUCGAUCAGCUCUGUGACAACUUUUAUAGGAAUUUCAUUGAGUGACUUUAGGUCUAUUGAAUCUAAUAAAAAAAUGGGUUUGUA
Long non-coding RNA from Cynocephalus volans (Philippine flying lemur), 622 nucleotides. RefSeq lists it as uncharacterized. The transcript is spliced from 2 exons. The record is from RefSeq and is a predicted model, not a curated record. Lineage: Eukaryota; Metazoa; Chordata; Mammalia; Dermoptera; Cynocephalidae.